RNAcentral lists this ribosomal RNA (460 nucleotides) under uncultured bacterium. RNAcentral's name for it is "partial 16S ribosomal RNA". It matches the Rfam family "Bacterial small subunit ribosomal RNA", at positions 338 to 795 of the family's 1533-position model. The record is from RNAcentral.
CCUACGGGGGGCAGCAGUGAGGAAUAUUGGUCAAUGGACGAGAGUCUGAACCAGCCAAGUAGCGUGAAGGAUGACUGCCCUAUGGGUUGUAAACUUCUUUUAUAUGGGAAUAAAAUGUUCCACGUGUGGGAUUUUGUAUGUACCAUAUGAAUAAGGAUCGGCUAACUCCGUGCCAGCAGCCGCGGUAAUACGGAGGAUCCGAGCGUUAUCCGGAUUUAUUGGGUUUAAAGGGGGCGUAGGUGGAUUGUUAAGUCAGUUGUGAAAGUUUGCGGCUCAACCGUAAAAUUGCAGUUGAAACUGGCAGUCUUGAGUACAGUAGAGGUGGGCGGAAUGCGUGGUGUAGCGGUGAAAUGCUUAGAUAUCACGAAGAACUCCGAUUGCGAAGGCAGUUCACUGGACUGCAACUGACACUGAGGCUCGAAAGUGUGGGUAUCAAACAGGAUUAGAUACCCGAGUAGUC